CCUGCAAAGUUUGUAAAACUACACUCAUUAAGUUUGAUGUGAAAAGAAUACGCAUGGAGUGAGAAAAUAAAGUAUGGAUUGCACAAAUCCCCCAAACGUGCUUCAAAAUACAUGUACUUGACGUUGAUGUGUAAAAUGCAUGAAACAUGUUCCCAGCUAGUGGUAGUAUCAAAGGAAUGUGAAACACCAACAAAAAUCAGCUCAAAACAUACACUUUGAUAGAAGUAACACAUGACCAAACUAGAACUUUCA
This 252-nucleotide long non-coding RNA is filed under the name Olea europaea (common olive). Its description in RNAcentral is "long non-coding RNA (OEUR_LNC006735)". Lineage: Eukaryota; Viridiplantae; Streptophyta; Magnoliopsida; Lamiales; Oleaceae. The record is from RNAcentral.